CCCAUGUUUCAGCGAGCAGCAGCAGCGAAGCUGUGAAGCCGCGGCCGCUCCUCCCCUCCUACCUGUCCCUCCUCCUGCAGCCGGGAUCCGCAGGAAUGCCGGUUAUUCCCGCUGCGCCUCGUCUGAAACCGAUUUUACUGUAAUCUUCACAAAAAGCUUCAGAAAACCUGGAUAAUGAUCCAGUCCGGAUCAAAGCAUGAAACCUGGACAGGUGAGGUUUAAGGACUUCAUGUAGGAAGGUGUGCUGAGGUGAGUUUGUACCUGGAGCCUCUCUGGCUGAAAGGCAGAGCUGCUGAGCCCAGACUGGAGGAGAAACCAGACAGUUAGCAUGCAGGUCCAACAACACAACGAAGAACGAGGAAAAACAGAGAGGAGGAGGAAGAGGAGGAAGGUCAGGAGGAAGAGGAGGAAGAGGAGAAACAUCAAAUGAACCUUCAGCUUUAAACAGUUCGUCUGCAGCAUUAAGGUUCCAUUAGCUACUAUUACUAUCACUGUUACUGUUCUGGUUCUGUUGGACCCAGUACGAUCAGAACCGUUCAGAACUUCCUGCAAAUGGAGCGGCUGGAUGAUCCGACUGCAGGCGGAAACACAGCUCUUACUGCACGCCUGUUACCGUAGUAACAGGCGUGCUCUCCGUGACCCGUUUGCAUCCGACCGGACUGGACGGUUACCUAGCAACAGCUUCCUUUCUGUCCUGGUUUUUACCUGCACGGCGACGACAGAAGGAGAGCCAGAAGUUUACAUACGCCUGAUAAAAAGACAGUUUUUGUUCCUCCGGUCCGAAGCUGGAUCAGAACCAAACGUCUCUGGUUUCACCUCACAAUAAAUUAUUUCAGUUUCCCAAAAGGCUCAAUAAUGAGAAUCUGUUUUUUCUUCCUGCAGUAAAUCAGCACCACACAGCAUGACGCUGCCACCUCCAUACUUCAGUGAGGAUGACAAGCAUCCCUGAUUCCCCUCCAGAUGUGACGUCACAGCAGAACCGUCCAGUUCAGUCUCGUUUCCAAACUGCAACCUGGCUUUUUAAGUUUGUUUCAAAAUGUUCUGAGAAAGUUUAAAUUCAACUAAAAAAUAUUCAACUUCUUUCCUCAGUGACAGUUUCCACCGCGAAGAGGGUUUAUCGGUGACCCGGCUGCUGAGAAAAGAAGAUUGAAUUGUCAAGUUUCUGACUCAAGAAAAAUAAAUUUCUGUAAUAUCCCA
Molecule: long non-coding RNA, 1197 nt
Organism: Xiphophorus couchianus (Monterrey platyfish)
Lineage: Eukaryota; Metazoa; Chordata; Actinopteri; Cyprinodontiformes; Poeciliidae
Exons: 2
Source: RefSeq, a predicted model, not a curated record